RNAcentral lists this ribosomal RNA (565 nucleotides) under Echinoparyphium sp. ECDC16. RNAcentral describes it as "partial large subunit ribosomal RNA". RNAcentral also lists the same sequence under 1 other name. The record is from RNAcentral. Lineage: Eukaryota; Metazoa; Platyhelminthes; Trematoda; Plagiorchiida; Echinostomatidae.
GAGAGAGUAAACAGUGCGUGAAACCGCUCAGAGGUAAACGGGUGGAGUUGAACUGCAAGCUCUGAGGAUUCAGCUGGUGAGUUUGGCAUGAGCUUGGUCAUGUGGGUUGUGUGUUCGGGUCUGCUUAGCUGCAGGUCCUCGCCUUUGGUGGGGAUGCGCGUAUCGCUUAUCAAGCGUUGUGCGCCCGUUCUUCUCGGACCUGCUCGCCAGUGCACUUUCUCAGAGUGUUCACCACGACCGGCGUUGUCGUCUGGCUGGUGCGGUUAAACCGGCCUUGUAGGGUCCUUGUGGCCUUGCCUGGUCGGGAUGGCAGGUAGCCCGUUGUGUACUUCGGUGUGCUUCGGGUGUAAUAGCCGACUGCAUCGGUUCUGUGCGAUACGUCGGAGACGGCGGCUUGUUGUGCGUGCGGGCGUGCCUGUUGCGCUGGCGGCUCCGGGUCUGGUUGCCUUGUUGCUUGUAAAUGCAAGCCAGGUGAUGGCCUGGGGUCGUUUGGUGUGCGGUUGCGUUCGUGGCACUUUAAAGGGCCUACAGUCUGUGGUGUAGUGGUAGACUAUCCACCUGACCC